AUGGCGAUCCUCCCACUGGUGGCCAUGCUCAGGGACAAGGCGUCCAGCUACCUCCUCGGCCAGUACAAUGUGAUGGAGGGAAUGGAGAAGCAGCACAGGAUUCUCAAACGCAGGCUUCCUAUCAUCCUCGACGUCAUCACAGACGCCGAGGAGCAGGCUGCAUCACACAGAGAAGGAGCUAAGGCCUGGCUCCAGGAGCUCAAGACAGUGGCCUAUGAGGCAAAUGAAGUCUUUGAUGAGUUCAAGUAUGAGGCGCUCCGCCGUGAAGCGAAGAAGAAUGGACAGUACAAAAAACAUGGACUCGAUGUGAUAAAACUCUUCCCUACUCACAACCAUGUUGUGUUUCGUCACAGAAUGGGUAGCAAGCUUUGCAAGAUUCUCGAGGAUAUCAAUGUUCUCAUUGCGGAGAUGCAUGACUUUGGGUUGAGGCAGACGUUCUUGGUGUCUAAUCAGUUGAGGCAGACACCAGAGUCCAAGGAGUGGAGGCACACUGAUUAUGUCAUCAUCGACCCACAAGAAAUUGCCAGCAGAUCCAGACACGAAGAUAAGAAGAAUAUUGUCGGUAAACUACUUGGUGAAGCUAGCAAUGCAGAUCUCACAGUAGUUCCCAUCGUCGGAAUGGGGGGCCUUGGCAAGACCACAUUAGCACAGCUCAUAUACAAUGAACCUGAAAUUCAGAAGCAUUUUCCGUUGCAGCUCUGGGUCUGCGUCUCUGAUACCUUCGAUGUGAAUUCGGUGGCUAAGAGUAUAGUUGAAGCAUCCCCCAAGAAAGAUCAUGAUACAGACAAACCACCACUGGAUAGACUUCAAAAACUGGUCAGCGAACAGAGGUAUCUCCUUGUAUUGGAUGAUGUCUGGAACAGGGAGGUCCAUAAGUGGGAAAGGCUAAAGGCUUGUCUUCAGCAUGGCGGCAUGGGUAGUGCAGUGUUGACAACAACCCGUGAUAAACAAGUUGCUGAAAUUACGGGUGCAGAUAGAACCUACAAUCUCAAUGUUUUGAAGGAUAACUUCAUUAAGAAAAUUAUUCUUACUAGAGCAUUCAGUUUACAGAAUGAAAAGCAUCCCGAGCUACACGAGAUGGUUGGUGAGAUUGUGAACAGAUGUCAUGGCAAUCCUUUAGCUGCAACUGCACUGGGAUCUCUACUUCAUACCGAGACCAGCGUGAAAGAGUGGAAGGAUGUAUCAUCUAGAAGUAGCAUUUGCAUCGAGGAAACUGGAAUUUUGCCAAUACUAAUGCUUAGUUAG
This 1245-nucleotide ribosomal RNA is filed under the name Triticum aestivum (bread wheat). RNAcentral's name for it is "partial small subunit ribosomal RNA". Lineage: Eukaryota; Viridiplantae; Streptophyta; Magnoliopsida; Poales; Poaceae. The record is from RNAcentral.